UUGACACCACAUAUUAGAUCUAUAUAUAUUUGUGUCCUUUAUUCCUCUUAUAGUUCCCAAAUCUCUUAGUUUGGAAAAAGAAAAAAAAAAUCCUACUCCAUAAAUAGAUUUUUGAGGGAAAAAAUGGUUGAAUCUACGACUAUGGCCAUGAAGCUAGAAGAACAAUUAGUAAAUAUAGAGGAAGAGAAAAGUGAUGAGAAACCAAGAGAAUUGUUUCUAGCAGAGCUGAAUCUUGUUCUUAUUCUCUCAUUUCUUUAAUUAUCAUCUGAAGAACGUAGUUUUGAGGAAUUGGAGAUUGACAAAGAUCACGAAGAACACAACAUUGUUUCUAAUGUAAAUUUCAGAAAACGAGGAGGAAUGAAUAAUUACCGGGCUACUGAACCACAAAUGCCCAGGUUCCAGACCAAGAUUAGGGACUGCAGACACAGCAGAAGAAUGUGAGGAAUCAACACACUUGGGGCAUAGCAAGAAUUAAGAGGUCUUUUGACUCUUUUCCAUUUAUGGAUAGAGAAAAAUGAAGAGACGAGAGUCAGAAAACAGGAAAGAAGAUAGAAAAAACGAAAGACAGGCUUUUGAAUGGCAAACAUUUCUAUUCAACUCUACGAAAGCAUUCUACAAUUCUACUCAAUACUUUGAAACCGUGUUUCAGUAUUUUAUAGAGCAUUUCGUUACAAAUCAGCAUAGCAAAAACUACUUGAUAUGAAACUUUUUACCCCCAUAUAAUUUACAUAGGUCAUUUCCCUUUAUCCGAGAACAUCCACUAGGGAAUGGAAUAAAGGGGUUUACACCCUCUAUCUUUCCUUUUAGACAUCUCAUUUUCCAAGAGCAUCUUUUAUCUAAUAAGCGAAAAAAUCUCAUAGUCAAUGGCACAUGGUUCAAAAUUCAAUAAAUAACUCGCUUGCCCCUCUAACCUAUUCCACUUUAAUAUAAUGCUUUUGUCCAUAUGUCAGGAUUCGAAAUAUGAGGUGCACCUAACAUAAACAUCAUCAGUAACUGCACUCUUACCACUAGGCCAAAGCAAGGAGCAUCUUAUACAUCGAUUUAAACAACUAUAGGCAGAGGAAUAAAGGGAUUUUGUCUUUCUACACUGAAUUAAACAACUAUAGGCAACGGAAUAAAGGGUGUUUUUUCCUCAUCUGGAUUAUUUCCCUUUCGUUGAUUAUCCAAGAACAUCAAUGUGCCCAUGUAAACAAUUGUAGGCAAGGGAAUAAGGGGUUUACUUCUCUAAUGGAUUUAGCAGCUAUACACAGAAUAUUUGAAUACUAUGGCAAGACCAGCUUUUGCAUCACUGGAACACAGUGCACAAAUGGCCUACAAACUUGUAUAAUUCCUAAUAACUGAUCGUAUAACAAAAGUAAGCGGUUAAAAACACAUGAAUACUUGUAUUCUCUCACUAACAUGGGCACUCAAAUUAUUCAUUAGACUAUUCUUGAUAAUUUCUUAUUGACAACACUAAGAUAGCAAUAAGCAGAUACAGUAAGGAAGUUCUAAACACAGGCUAGAACAGGACUCUAAAUUCUCCAUCUAGACUAUGCAACCACCAUGUUAUUGUAACCUUUGUAUCCUUGCCUACAAAAUUAUCAUAUGCAUGAAAAAAAUACUGGAGCUUCUCUUCAUUAGUCAGAUAUUCUGAUCUCAACUCCCAAUAGGUCCUUCACUUGCUCAUAUGCCACAAAA
Nicotiana tabacum (common tobacco) is the source of this 1677-nucleotide non-coding RNA. The record is from RefSeq and is a predicted model, not a curated record. NCBI's taxonomy places the organism in Eukaryota, Viridiplantae, Streptophyta, Magnoliopsida, Solanales, Solanaceae.